ACAUGCAGUCGAGCGAAUCUUUGGGAGCUUGCUCCCAUUGGUUAGCGGCGGACGGGUGAGUAACACGUGGGCAACCUGCCUGUAAGACUGGGAUAACUUCGGGAAACCGGAGCUAAUACCGGAUAAUUCUUUUCCUCUCAUGAGGAAAAGCUGAAAGUCGGUUUACGCUGACACUUACAGAUGGGCCCGCGGCGCAUUAGCUAGUUGGUGAGGUAACGGCUCACCAAGGCGACGAUGCGUAGCCGACCUGAGAGGGUGAUCGGCCACACUGGGACUGAGACACGGCCCAGACUCCUACGGGAGGCAGCAGUAGGGAAUCUUCCACAAUGGACGAAAGUCUGAUGGAGCAACGCCGCGUGAGCGAUGAAGGCCUUCGGGUCGUAAAGCUCUGUUGUUAGGGAAGAACAAGUACCGGAGUAACUGCCGGUACCUUGACGGUACCUAACCAGAAAGCCACGGCUAACUACGUGCCAGCAGCCGCGGUAAUACGUAGGUGGCAAGCGUUGUCCGGAAUUAUUGGGCGUAAAGCGCGCGCAGGCGGUCCUUUAAGUCUGAUGUGAAAGCCCACGGCUCAACCGUGGAGGGUCAUUGGAAACUGGGGGACUUGAGUGCAGAAGAGGAAAGCGGAAUUCCACGUGUAGCGGUGAAAUGCGUAGAGAUGUGGAGGAACACCAGUGGCGAAGGCGGCUUUCUGGUCUGUAACUGACGCUGAGGCGCGAAAGCGUGGGGAGCAAACAGGAUUAGAUACCCUGGUAGUCCACGCCGUAAACGAUGAGUGCUAAGUGUUAGGGGGUUUCCGCCCCUUAGUGCUGCAGCUAACGCAUUAAGCACUCCGCCUGGGGAGUACGGCCGCAAGGCUGAAACUCAAAUGAAAUUUGACGGG
This 883-nucleotide ribosomal RNA is filed under the name bacterium E3R10print. Its description in RNAcentral is "bacterial SSU rRNA". It matches the Rfam family "Bacterial small subunit ribosomal RNA", at positions 53 to 917 of the family's 1533-position model. The record is from RNAcentral.